GCGCAGUAUUCGAGAGGCAAUUGAAUUACAAAAUCAUGAGUUACUUCCGGGCAUUCUUGAACAGUCCUGUUGGCCCUAAAACAACUCACUUUUGGGGUCCUAUGGCCAACUGGGGCUUUGUCAUUUCUGGAGUGAUGGAUUCACAGAAGCCCCCUGAUGCAAUAUCUGGCAAUAUGACUUCAGUGCUAUGUGUAUAUUCACUAUUAUGUAUGAGAUUUGCAUGGAUGGUACGUCCUCGCAAUUAUCUUCUUCUGGCUUGCCAUGCUUCAAAUGAGUCAGUGCAGCUCUAUCAACUCUCACGUUGGCUAAAGCAUCAGCGGUACUUGUCUCAGAAGGAAGAGAGCGUUUCUUCAUGACUUUAAGCUCUGUUCUUCUCAUCAUCCAUCAUUUCGACAACCAAAAAAGAAAAAAGAACAAAAAGAUAGUUGUAUCAUACUGCAAAAGAGUUGGUUAUCUGUGUUACAUCGGUUGUACAAGAGUCUCAAAUGAAUGGAAUGAUGCAAAGUGGC
RNAcentral lists this unclassified non-coding RNA (509 nucleotides) under Hevea brasiliensis (rubber tree). Lineage: Eukaryota; Viridiplantae; Streptophyta; Magnoliopsida; Malpighiales; Euphorbiaceae. The record is from RNAcentral.